CCGACCAUGUCGGCGCCGACAGAUGUUUACAUGCGUUGUUCUAACUACCGUAAUUCCUAGACCAUUUGUGCUAUAAAAAUCAUUCAAACAGUUCCUGAAAGUAGAGAGAAUGGCCUUUGCACUCAUAUAAGGCUUAUUACAGUAGGCUGCUGCAAUCGCGAGAUACGACAGGUCAAACACAGACGAGACUUUACUUUGCUGAGUCACACAGCGCAACAGCGGAAAAGAGCAGAAAGAGGACAAAAGAGGACAAAAGAGGACGAAACGAGUGGACUUUUGGAGAACUUUUUCAACAAUAAGAUCUUAUUUGUGAGAGAAAAUGUCAAGAAAAUCAUCUAGGGUUAUAAAAACCCCCAAAAGGUUGAUUGAGGACGAUCGUGACCACAAUGGCGCAUUUUCAUCCGAAGCAGAGUAAGUAAUAAGUUGUGUACAAGCAAUAUGUCUUAGUAAACCUACAGUGGAUGUUUAUAUGGCUAAAAGUGAAAUUUUAUGUCUUUAUUACUUUUAGCAUUCCUUCUGGUGAUGGGCCACCCACACAGAGCACUCCCUGGCAGUGUGAGGAGUGCAAUGUGGGCCUGUGUCUGCAGCUACAGAGGAACUGCUUCAGGGAGUACCACAAAGGCCAAAAAACGCCUGGACUUUCUUAAAGAAAAUGGAUUAUAAAACAAAAACUUAAAGUCCAAGGCUCCCAAACUUUCUGGGGCAGAUGUAUAAUAGUUGAACUUUCACAUUUGACAUGUGUAACCUUUUGUCUAAUGGCAUUCAGAGUUUCUCAUUUCAUAAAAACCUUGAAAAUCUA
Long non-coding RNA from Melanotaenia boesemani (Boeseman's rainbowfish), 799 nucleotides. RefSeq lists it as uncharacterized. The record is from RefSeq and is a predicted model, not a curated record. NCBI's taxonomy places the organism in Eukaryota, Metazoa, Chordata, Actinopteri, Atheriniformes, Melanotaeniidae. The transcript has 2 exons.